This 455-nucleotide ribosomal RNA is filed under the name marine Metazoa environmental sample. Its description in RNAcentral is "SSU rRNA". It matches the Rfam family "Eukaryotic small subunit ribosomal RNA", at positions 587 to 972 of the family's 1831-position model. The record is from RNAcentral. Lineage: Eukaryota; Metazoa.
AGCUCCACUAGCGUAUAUUAAAGUUGCUGCAGUUAAAAAGCUCGUAGUCGGAUCUCGGGAUCGUGUCGGUGAUUUGGUUGCUUCUCCUGCGUUUCGGCGUUGGGGGUUGUGGCCGGUCAUCGGCCCUGCCGGCGAGGUCCCUACCUUUGGUGGGGUUCCACCUCGCUCGUGCAGCCCGCCGUUGCGAUUUGGCGGGUGUCCUUAAUUGGAUGCCCGUCUCGAUCGUGACCACUUUACCUUGAACAAAUCGGAGUGCUCAAAGCAGGCUCUCUAUCGCUCUAACGGUAGCGCAUGGAAUAAUGGAAGAGGACUUGCUUCCGCUUCUGUUGGUCUCACGGAUGCAGGUAAUGAUCAAGAGGGACGGACGGGGGCAGAGGUAUGUCUCGGCGAGAGGUGAAAUUCUUGGACCCUAGACAGACCCUCGAGAGCGAAAGCAUCUGCCAAGGAUGUUUCCA